This 1964-nucleotide ribosomal RNA is filed under the name Escherichia coli. RNAcentral describes it as "partial 23S ribosomal RNA". It matches the Rfam family "Bacterial large subunit ribosomal RNA", at positions 890 to 2875 of the family's 2925-position model. Lineage: Bacteria; Pseudomonadati; Pseudomonadota; Gammaproteobacteria; Enterobacterales; Enterobacteriaceae. The record is from RNAcentral.
GAGAUACGGAGGUAGAGCACUGAAUGUCCUAGGGGGUAUUGCACCUACCGAAGACUAUCAAACUCCGAAUGCCGUCAUCUUAUACUUGGGAGUCAGACUGUGGGUGAUAAGAUUCAUAGUCGAAAGGGCAACAGCCCAGAUCGUCAGCUAAGGUCCCUAAAUGUAAGUUAAGUGGUAAAGGAUGUGGGAUUGCACAGACAACCCGGAUGUUGGCUUAGAAGCAGCCACUCAUUCAAAGAGUGCGUAAUAGCUCACUGGUCGAGUGAUCCUGCGCCGAAGAUUUCCGGGGCUAAAACUUACUACCGAAGCUACGGCAGCAGUAAUGAGGGGUAGGGGAGCGUCCCAGACGGGGUGAAGCAGGACCGUAAGGACAUGUGGACAGUAUGGGAGUGAGAAUGUUGGCAUGAGUAGCGAGAUGUGGGUGAGAAUCCCACAGGCCGUAAACCCAAGGUUUCCAGGGGAAGGUUCGUCCGCCCUGGGUUAGUCGGGACCUAAGCUGAGGCCGAAAGGCGUAGGUGAUGGACAACAGGUUGAUAUUCCUGUACUACCGAUAACCGUUUGAGAGAAGGGAUGACACAGUAGGAUAAGCUAAGCACACUGUUGGUUAUGUGUGCCCAAGCAUUGAGGCAGUCAAAGUAGGCAAAUCCGCUUUGAUAAUGCUGGGAUGUGAUGGGGAGCGAAAUUUAGUAGCGAAGUAGCUGAUUUCACACUGUCAAGAAAAGUCUCUAUCGAGGUUAAAGGUACCCGUACCGCAAACCGACACAGGUGGGUGAGGAGAGUAUCCUAAGGCCAGCGAGAGAACUGUUGUUAAGGAACUCGGCAAAAUGACCCCGUAACUUAGGGAUAAGGGGUGCCACCAUCAGGUGGCCGCAGAGAAUAGGCCCAAGCGACUGUUUACCAAAAACAUAGGUUUCUGCUAAGUCGCAAGACGAUGUAUAGGAGCUGACGCCUGCCCGGUGCUGGAAGGUUAAGGGGAUCUGUUAGAGUAAUCGAAGCAGUGAACUUAAGCCCCAGUAAACGGCGGCCGUAACUAUAACGGUCCUAAGGUAGCGAAAUUCCUUGUCGGGUAAGUUCCGACCCGCACGAAAGGCGUAACGAUUUGGGCACUGUCUCAACAACAGACUCGGUGAAAUUGUAAUUCCGGUGAAGAUGCCGGAUACCUGCGACAGGACGGAAAGACCCCAUGGAGCUUUACUGUAGCUUGACAUUGGGUCUUGGUACUACAUGUACAGGAUAGGUGGGAGGCUUUGAAACCAGGACGCCAGUUUUGGCGGAGCCAUCCUUGGGAUACCACCCUUGUAGUACUGGGACUCUAACCAUAGGCCAUGAAUCUGGUCUUGGGACACUGUCAGGUGGGCAGUUUGACUGGGGCGGUCGCCUCCCAAAAGGUAACGGAGGCGCUCAAAGGUUCUCUCAGUACGGUCGGAAAUCGUACGUAGAGUGUAAAGGCAAAAGAGAGCUUGAUUGCAAGACAUACAGGUCGAGCAAGGAUGAAAAUCGGACUUAGUGAUCCGGUGGUUCUGCGUGGAAGGGCCAUCGCUCAACGGAUAAAAGCUACCCUGGGGAUAACAGGCUUAUCUCCCCCAAGAGUCCACAUCGACGGGGAGGUUUGGCACCUCGAUGUCGGCUCAUCACAUCCUGGGGCUGUAGUAGGUCCCAAGGGUUGGGCUGUUCGCCCAUUAAAGUGGUACGCGAGCUGGGUUCAGAACGUCGUGAGACAGUUCGGUCCCUAUCCGUCGCAGGCGUAGGAAAUUUGAGAAGACCUGUCCUUAGUACGAGAGGACCGGGAUGGACGUACCUCUGGUGUACCAGUUGUCCUGCCAAGGGCAUGGCUGGGUAGCUAUGUACGGAAUGGAUAAGCGCUGAAAGCAUCUAAGCGCGAAGCCAACUUCAAGAUAAGAUUUCCCACCGCAAGGGUAAGACCCCAGAAAGACUAUCUGGUUGAUAGGUCGAAGGUGUAAGUG